UACGUAGGGCGCAAGCGUUGUCCGGAAUUAUUGGGCGUAAAGAGCUCGUAGGCGGUUUGUCGCGUCUGCUGUGAAAACCUAAGGCUCAACCUUGGGCUUGCAGUGGGUACGGGCAGACUAGAGUGCGGUAGGGGUGACUGGAAUCCUGGUGUAGCGGUGGAAUGCGCAGAUAUCAGGAGGAACACCGAUGGCGAAGGCAGGUCACUGGGCCGCAACUGACG
Molecule: ribosomal RNA, 221 nt
Filed under: uncultured bacterium
Lineage: Bacteria
Description: partial 16S ribosomal RNA
Rfam family: Bacterial small subunit ribosomal RNA
Source: RNAcentral